GACGAACGCUGGCGGCGUGCUUAACACAUGCAAGUCGAGCGGUAAGGCCCUUUCGGGGGUACGACGAGCGGCGAACGGGUGAGUAACACGUGGGUGACCUGCCCUCAGCUCUGGGAUAAGCCCGGGAAACUGGGUCUAAUACUGGAUAUGACUCCAUGACGCAUGUUGUGGGGUGGAAAGCCUUGUGCGGCUGAGGAUGGGCCCGCGGCCUAUCAGCUUGUUGGUGGGGGAUGGCCUACCAAGGCGACGACGGGUAGCCGGCCUGAGAGGGCGACCGGCCACACUGGGACUGAGACACGGCCCAGACUCCUACGGGAGGCAGCAGUGGGGAAUCUUGCGCAAUGGGCGAAAGCCUGACGCAGCGACGCCGCGUGAGGGAUGACGGCCU
This 388-nucleotide ribosomal RNA is filed under the name uncultured bacterium. RNAcentral's name for it is "bacterial SSU rRNA". It matches the Rfam family "Bacterial small subunit ribosomal RNA", at positions 28 to 417 of the family's 1533-position model. The record is from RNAcentral.